This is a long non-coding RNA of Perca flavescens (yellow perch), 474 nucleotides long. RefSeq lists it as uncharacterized. NCBI's taxonomy places the organism in Eukaryota, Metazoa, Chordata, Actinopteri, Perciformes, Percidae. The record is from RefSeq and is a predicted model, not a curated record. The transcript has 2 exons.
GGAACUCAGUCUCUCUUCACUCUGCCAUUACCAACGUGUGCCUGUGUAAAUCUGUGUCUUGUGUUCCAAGUUGUUUUACCUGGCUGCUGACUUCUCUUCCUGAUGGAACAAAAGAUGGGGCAAAGGGCGGAGCCUGCUUUUAUGCAUAGACCCCAACCUUGGACCAGACCAAAACAUGUGACAGCAGGGGUGGUGGGAUAAGGAUUUCUCUCUGCCAGUUUUAGUGAUUGUCCAUGUUGUCCUCCCGUGUGUGAUUAUUGGUUUGGCCAGUUUGUAUGUACUUUAAGUGUCCCUCAUGUUUCAUUCGAGAGGUCCCUUAAUUGAGUUAACAUUUUGGUUUUGCUAGCUUUAUUUUACUCUAGCGUUAUGUUUUGUUGACCUUUUUUUAAAGGGCCCUGUAACUCUUUGCCUUAAUUUGCUUUGUUGAAUCUUUGUUUUGGUGAAAUAUAAACCCUAAAUAUUUUGAACUUCAAA